Molecule: transfer RNA, 95 nt
Organism: Hebeloma cylindrosporum
Lineage: Eukaryota; Fungi; Basidiomycota; Agaricomycetes; Agaricales; Hymenogastraceae
Rfam family: tRNA
About the family: Transfer RNA (tRNA) molecules are approximately 80 nucleotides in length.
Source: Rfam
GCCCGCUUAGCUCAGUGGUAGAGCGCGCCACUCGUAAAAAAAUUCGAGGAUUACCUGAAAUGGUGAGGUCGGUUGUUCAAACCAGCCAGCGGGCA